CAAAGGCUUGCUGCCUUGGGAGCGGGGAAUGUCCUAUCAGGUUGUUGGUGAGGUAAAGGCUCACCAAGCCAAAGACGGGUAGCGGGUGUGAGAGCACGACCCGCCGCAUCGGGACUGAGACACUGCCCGGACUCCUACGGGAGGCUGCAGUAACGAAUCUUCCGCAAUGCACGAAAGUGUGACGGGGCAAUGCCGCGUGUGGGAUGAAGGCCUUCGGGUUGUAAACCACUGUCAGGGUUCAGGAAACAAAUGACCAGACCCAAAGGAAGGGCCGGCUAACUCUGUGCCAGCAGCCGCGGUAAUACAGAGGGCCCGAGCGUUAAUCGGAAUCACUGGGCUUAAAGCGUACGUAGGCGGACUUGUAGGCAUCUUGUGAAAUCCCUCGGCUCAACCGGGGAAUUGCAGGGUGAACCACAAGUCUUGAGGCGAGUAGAGGCGGUCGGAACGAUAGGUGGAGCGGUGAAAUGCGUAGAUAUCUAUCGGAACGCCAAAGGUGAAGACAGGCCGCUGGGCUCGUCCUGACGCUGAGGUACGAAAGCGUGGGUAGCGAACGGGAUUAGAUACCCCGGUAGUCCACGCCGUAAACGAUGCGCACUAGGUCGGGGAGGUUUGACGCCCUCCCGGCCGAAGCAAAAGUGUUUAGUGCGCCGCCUGGGGAGUA
This 661-nucleotide ribosomal RNA is filed under the name uncultured Phycisphaeraceae bacterium. RNAcentral's name for it is "bacterial SSU rRNA". It matches the Rfam family "Bacterial small subunit ribosomal RNA", at positions 202 to 882 of the family's 1533-position model. Lineage: Bacteria; Pseudomonadati; Planctomycetota; Phycisphaerae; Phycisphaerales; Phycisphaeraceae. The record is from RNAcentral.